AUACGGAGGGUGCAAGCGUUAUCCGGAAUCAUUGGGUUUAAAGGGUCCGUAGGCGGACUAUUAAGUCAGAGGUGAAAUCCCACAGCUCAACUGUGGAACUGCCUUUGAUACUGGUAGUCUUGAGUUAUAUGGAAGUAGAUAGAAUGUGUAGUGUAGCGGUGAAAUGCAUAGAUAUUACACAGAGUACCGAUUGCGAAGGCAGUCUACUACGUAUAUACUGACGCUAAGGGACGAAAGCGUGGGGAGCGAACAGGAUUAGAAACCCCGGUAGUCC
This 274-nucleotide ribosomal RNA is filed under the name uncultured bacterium. RNAcentral describes it as "partial 16S ribosomal RNA". It matches the Rfam family "Bacterial small subunit ribosomal RNA", at positions 523 to 796 of the family's 1533-position model. The record is from RNAcentral.